Molecule: non-coding RNA, 1415 nt
Organism: Callorhinus ursinus (northern fur seal)
Lineage: Eukaryota; Metazoa; Chordata; Mammalia; Carnivora; Otariidae
Source: RefSeq, a predicted model, not a curated record
AACUGUCCCUCCGCGCUCCUGCGGGGAAGGAGGGGCAAAAACUGGCUUCGCGCUGCGUCCGCGCGGGAGGCCGGGGUGGGCCGCGCCCCUCCGGGAAACCAGACGCGAGGGGGCGUGGCCAAGCACCAAGCUCCGCCCACCACUGCGGCCGAAGUGGGAGGGGGCCCUGCAGCUGGAGUAUGUCUUUCCCAUAAAUUCCAGAGCGGAUGUCUAUUGUCUGAUGCGUUUCUGCCUGUGACUCCAAUGAAAAGUGAAAACCACAAUGUGGAUAGGCCCACUCUGCAAGGUGCUUUAUGAAUUUUUCUGGAUGUGUCGUAAUAUCACCAUGAGGCAGAGAUGGCACUGUCUCCCAUUCGGCUAUCAGGUAAAGAAGACAUAUUUUGAAGAAAAAAUAGCUGAGCUAAGGAGGAAAAAGAAGAGCCAGGAGAUAACAUCCUGGCUGCGGUCAUGAAGGAGGGUAAGAUGCGGUAUUAAAAAUUGAGAAUAGGGCACAAAAUACACAUAACUGAAUUUUAUUAAUAGCCUAAAUGGAGUCCUUUGCAGAGAAUUUACUUGAAACCAGAUAUCUAGCUUAUACUGAAUUUUUUUUUUUUGUCUUCUCUUUGGUUGGAUUGUGAAAUAGAAAGCCUUCUCCAUAGGCCUGGUUAAAAUAUUUGAAAUGUGCAUAAUUCUUUUAAAAAGGGGAACGUAAACUGGCAAUGACCAUGAUCAAAACUGUUGCCCUUGUUAUUGCUAAAGCAGCAAUCGAUGACCUGAAGGGCAACUGCAAGAUCAGCAGAUCCUGUAGAGAUGCAGCCUCAUGAAGGGGGAGGUAGUAAGCCAGGCAGCAACACAGAGGAAAAGCGAUCUGAGCAGUGGAAAUCUUCUAGAACAGGAAGUGGACGACAUCUGCCCUUGACAGUUUUUAAGGUCAGGUAAAGCUCAAACAGGAAAAAAACUGGCCAUUGCAACGUUCUGGAAAAAAGGCACAGAAAAUAUUUCCCAAAAUAACUUCGUGGCAAAUAUCUUACUCUGACACUUACAGCAUCACUUGAUAAUGCAGCAAUCUGUCCUUUAGAUGACAAAGGGAAAUACAAGCCAAUCUGAUAACCAAGCCAGUUAUCUACUCAUUCUAAUAAAUGCAUAAACUUUAAAAAUGUAUGUUAUUAGGAGCUGGAUAAGGAAAUGAACGAUGCUGGUCCCUAGCCCUGACAGCGAUUGCUAGGAUCUGAAGACCCUGCUUGGAAAGGAAGCCUGUCUUCAUGGUAACUAGAAGCAGAGAAAAGAAGCUAAAAAUCAAGACACUGAUGUUGUCUUGGUGGUCCUUUCAUACUCUUAAGGUUUCUUACAUCAGAGGCCUUGUGCCAGGUCCAAUUCCUGAAGCUGCCUUUCCUUCCUGCUCCCUCUUGCUGUACCAGUAAAUUCCCUGAGACUGA